This 444-nucleotide ribosomal RNA is filed under the name uncultured bacterium. Its description in RNAcentral is "SSU rRNA". It matches the Rfam family "Bacterial small subunit ribosomal RNA", at positions 26 to 518 of the family's 1533-position model. The record is from RNAcentral.
AGAACGAACGCUGGCGGCAGGCCUAAUACAUGCAAGUCGAACGCACUCUUCGGAGUGAGUGGCAGACGGGUGAGUAACGCGUGGGAACCUUCCUUGUAGUACGGAAUAACUCCGGGAAACCGGUGCUAAUACCGUAUACGCCCUCCGGGGGAAAGAUUUAUCGCUACAAGAUGGGCCCGCGUUGGAUUAGCUAGUUGGUAGGGUAAUGGCCUACCAAGGCUACGAUCCAUAGCUGGUCUGAGAGGAUGAUCAGCCACACUGGGACUGAGACACGGCCCAGACUCCUACGGGAGGCAGCAGUAGGGAAUCUUGGACAAUGGGCGAAAGCCUGAUCCAGCCAUGCCGCGUGAGUGAAGAAGGCCUUAGGGUUGUAAAGCUCUUUUGGCGGGGACGAUAAUGACGGUACCGCAGAAUAAGCCCGGCUAACUUCGUGCCAGCAGCCGC